RNAcentral lists this transfer RNA (76 nucleotides) under Halobacteriovoraceae bacterium. RNAcentral describes it as "tRNA-Gly". It matches the Rfam family "tRNA". Rfam says of the family: Transfer RNA (tRNA) molecules are approximately 80 nucleotides in length. RNAcentral also lists the same sequence under 1 other name. The record is from RNAcentral. Lineage: Bacteria; Pseudomonadati; Bdellovibrionota; Bacteriovoracia; Bacteriovoracales; Halobacteriovoraceae.
GCGGGUGUAGCUCAGUUGGUAGAGCACAAGCCUUCCAAGCUUGGGGUCGAGGGUUCGAACCCCUUCGCCCGCUCCA